AGAGUAUCACAAUGACCUACUUUUCAAUGAGACUGGUGAUGGUAUGCGGGAUUAUCGGGAUCGUAUCCGCCCUGGAGGGUGACAAUGUCUGUACACGUUCUGUUGCUCAGAAAGUUUCGUACAUAGAGACAAGAAGGGUAUCUAAACAAAGAUGCAGCACCCCUACCGAUUGUAAAACUGUCUAUUCACUGCAAAAAGU
Saccostrea cuccullata (small rock oyster) is the source of this 199-nucleotide long non-coding RNA. RefSeq lists it as uncharacterized. Lineage: Eukaryota; Metazoa; Mollusca; Bivalvia; Ostreida; Ostreidae. The transcript is spliced from 3 exons. The record is from RefSeq and is a predicted model, not a curated record.